This 254-nucleotide ribosomal RNA is filed under the name uncultured bacterium. Its description in RNAcentral is "partial 16S ribosomal RNA". It matches the Rfam family "Bacterial small subunit ribosomal RNA", at positions 524 to 776 of the family's 1533-position model. The record is from RNAcentral.
UACGUAGGGUGCAGGCGUUAAUCGGAAUUACUGGGCGUAAAGCGUGCGCAGGCGGUUUGCUAAGACAGGUGUGAAAUCCCCGGGCUUAACCUGGGAACUGCGCUUGUUACUGGCAGGCUUGAGUGUGGCAGAGGGGGGUGGAAUUCCACGUGUAGCAGUGAAAUGCGUAGAGAUGUGGAGGAACACCGAUGGCGAAGGCAGCCCCCUGGGCUAACACUGACGCCUCAUGCACGAAAGCGUGGGGAGCAAACAGG